AGUGAACGCUGGCGGCGUGCCUAACACAUGCAAGUCGAGCGGGCUUUUGCAGAUCACCGCAAGAGCUAGCGGCAGACGGGUGAGUAACACGUGAGAAACCUUCCCUCGAAUGGGGAACACCCCCGAGAAAUCGGGGUUAAUACCCCAUAAGACCACGAUCCGGCAUCGGAUUGAGGUCAAAGGCGUAAGUCGUUUGAGGAUGGUCUCGCGUCCUAUCAGCUAGUUGGUGAGGUAACGGCCCACCAAGGCUAUGACGGGUAUCCGGCCUGAAAGGGCGAUCGGACACACUGGAACUGAGACACGGUCCAGACUCCUACGGGAGGCUG
This 326-nucleotide ribosomal RNA is filed under the name uncultured Elusimicrobia bacterium. RNAcentral describes it as "bacterial SSU rRNA". It matches the Rfam family "Bacterial small subunit ribosomal RNA", at positions 29 to 351 of the family's 1533-position model. Lineage: Bacteria; Pseudomonadati; Elusimicrobiota; Elusimicrobia. The record is from RNAcentral.